Molecule: ribosomal RNA, 447 nt
Filed under: uncultured bacterium
Lineage: Bacteria
Description: bacterial SSU rRNA
Rfam family: Bacterial small subunit ribosomal RNA
Source: RNAcentral
UCGGGAAUUUUGGGCAAUGGGCGAAAGCCUGACCCAGCAACGCCGCGUGAAGGAUGAAGUCUCUCGGGAUGUAAACUUCGUAAGAAUAGGAAGAAUAAAUGACGGUACUAUUUGUAAGGUCCGGCUAACUACGUGCCAGCAGCCGCGGUAAUACGUAGGGACCAAGCGUUGUUCGGAUUUACUGGGCGUAAAGGGCGCGUAGGCGGCGUGGUAAGUCACUUGUGAAAUCUCCGAGCUUAACUCGGAACGGUCAAGUGAUACUGCUGUGCUAGAGUACAGAAGGGGCAAUCGGAAUUCUUGGUGUAGCGGUGAAAUGCGUAGAUAUCAAGAGGAACACCUGAGGUGAAGACGGGUUGCUGGGCUGACACUGACGCUGAGGCGCGAAAGCCAGGGGAGCAAACGGGAUUAGAUACCCGUGUAGUCCCUGAGCGGGCUGGCAAGGCGCAU